UACGGAGGGUGCAAGCGUUAUCCGGAUUCACUGGGUUUAAAGGGAGCGUAGGUGGGCAGGUAAGUCAGUGGUGAAAUCUCUGGGCUUAACCCGGAAACUGCCAUUGAUACUAUCUGUCUUGAAUACCGUGGAGGUGAGCGGAAUAUGUCAUGUAGCGGUGAAAUGCUUAGAUAUGACAUAGAACACCAAUUGCGAAGGCAGCUCACUACACGAAUAUUGACACUGAGGCACGAAAGCGUGGGGAUCAAACAGG
This 253-nucleotide ribosomal RNA is filed under the name uncultured bacterium. RNAcentral describes it as "partial 16S ribosomal RNA". It matches the Rfam family "Bacterial small subunit ribosomal RNA", at positions 524 to 776 of the family's 1533-position model. The record is from RNAcentral.